GAUGAACGCUGGCGGCGUGCUUAACACAUGCAAGUCGAACGGAAAGGCUCCUGCUUGCUGGGGUACUCGAGUGGCGAACGGGUGAGUAACACGUGGGUGAUCUGCCCUGCACUUCGGGAUAAGCCUGGGAAACUGGGUCUAAUACCGGAUAGGACGAUGGUUUGGAUGCCAUUGUGGAAAGUUUUUUCGGUGUGGGAUGAGCUCGCGGCCUAUCAGCUUGUUGGUGGGGUAAUGGCCUACCAAGGCGUCGACGGGUAGCCGGCCUGAGAGGGUGUACGGCCACAUUGGGACUGAGAUACGGCCCAGACUCCUACGGGAGGCAGCAGUGGGGAAUAUUGCACAAUGGGCGGAAGCCUGAUGCAGCGACGCCGCGUGGGGGAUGACGGCCUUCGGGUUGUAAACUCCUUUCGCUAGGGACGAAGCGCAAGUGACGGUACCUGGAGAAGAAGCACCGGCUAACUACGUG
This 466-nucleotide ribosomal RNA is filed under the name uncultured bacterium. Its description in RNAcentral is "partial 16S ribosomal RNA". It matches the Rfam family "Bacterial small subunit ribosomal RNA", at positions 28 to 507 of the family's 1533-position model. The record is from RNAcentral.